GGACCCGCACAAGCAGCGGAGCGUGUGGUUUAAUUCGAUGAUACACGAAGAACCUUACCAGGGCUUGACAUAUGAGUGGUAGAGGAGAGAAAUCCGAUCGACCCUUCGGGGAGCUCAUACAGGUGUUGCAUGGCUGUCGUCAGCUCGUGCCGUGAGGUGUUCGGUUAAGUCCGCUAACGAGCGCAACCCUUGCUGUAUGUUACAAGUGUCAUACGGGACUGCCGGUGAGAAGCCGGAGGAAGGUGGGGAUGACGCCAAGUCAGCAUGACCUUUAUGUCCUGGGCUACACACACGCUACAAUGGGCAGCACAAUCGGUAGCCAAACCGCGAGGUGGAGCGAAUCCUGAAAGCUGUCCUCAGUUCAGAUUGCAGGCUGCAACCCGCCUGCAUGAAGAUGGAGUUGCUAGUAAACGCGCGUCAGCAAUAGUGCGUUGAAUACGUUCCCGGGUCUU
Molecule: ribosomal RNA, 452 nt
Filed under: uncultured bacterium
Lineage: Bacteria
Description: bacterial SSU rRNA
Rfam family: Bacterial small subunit ribosomal RNA
Source: RNAcentral